UCAGGAACUCUAGCAAAGGGUGAACUUAACUUUCAUUCUUCUCAAGAUUCUUGACAAAGUCUAGAAUUUGGAUGCCUUCAUCAAAUAAACCAAAAAGUAGAGGUGGUUGAAAGAGUUUCUCAAAAGACUUUCAGGAUAUAUAGUUUUUGCUACUCCUAAUGUUAGGCUGCAAUUAAAGGCAGUAGAAACUUCACACUUGCUUUCUCUACAGUUUUUCUUAAACUGAACCAUUGUUUAAGGUGUCACUGAAGGAAAAUGAAAAACAUAAAAACAUGUCAUUAAAAAAAAAUCCAUUAUUUACCACUGUUGCCUUUCACGUCUCUUAAGGAACAAACGUGACAGAACCGUGACAUCUGUUUAUGUCUUUUAUUUUUCAUGAUAGGAGAACAGCAGUGUCAUCCACAUCUGCUCAACAAAGCCAGCUGUAGCACACCAGCACUUUAGAAUUUAGAAGCAAUUUUUUUGUUUUUCCUGAAUAUGUUAUAUGUCCAAAACUUUGAGAUUGUCCUGCCUACUUCAUGGCACCUGUAAAGCUACUAUAAAGCAGUAAAAAAGCACUGGAUGUUCCCAUCUUUCUAUUCCUUUCGCUCCAUGGACAAUGAAAGUAGAUAUGGGAUUCCACACCAGCCUAGUCAGCUGUCUCUGUGAUCUGUUCAUAUUUGCUUGUAAUUCAAAGAGCUCUAAAACUGUUUGGAUUUUUUUCUGAAUUCAUAUAAAUGAAAUUGUCAUUACAAAAAAAAUCUCAGCAUCAGACUACACAACUGGUCUUCUGCAAGUAAGUGACUGAGUCAACACAACAUUCUCACGUAGCGUUCAGCUGUUAAAAGGAAACCAGUCCUGCUUUCACACCCCAAGCAAUGUAUAGUGCUCAUUACAUAAUAACUGAGGGAGUUCAGCACUUGCUUCAAGCACUUCUUGCAUGGGAAUGGGAUCUAGCAAGAGAAUCUGAGAAACAAAAUCUCCGAGACUGUCAAACUGCUACUUUCUUGGUCCUUACUCUAAAAGCAUUUGAGCUAUGAAUCUAUGACUGUGAAAGAUCUUUUCAAUAUAAAUAGGUGGAAUUUCCAUAUUAGUUUCAGGUUCCAGAAAAUUGUGCUUACACCUCCCUUCUGAAAAGCCAAAAACUGGUAAGAGUUAAAGAACUGUAUUCAACUUAAGUAGCUUCCCAUACAGAAGUGGAAAUGGAUCCAGAAAAAAGAAGCUUCCUCCCCAGUCAAUCAGCUCCUGUUGCCUCCUGUCUUUUCUGAAAAGGCAGCCAAUAUUCCAUGCAGAUGUCCCAGGUUGCUACAGCAGCUUUUUAAUCGAGUCACCCACAGAAUCUUCCCCUGAAAUAUUCUGCUUCUUAAGUCCAAAAUGACUAAAACUCUUCUAAGUAGACUGACUACCUAUGUGAAAACUGCUUCUCAUUUAACACUUUUCUAUGGCUAGCAUUUUAUAAAGCUAGUGUAAAUCAAUACAGAGCAGACCAAAAGGAAACCCCACAAUGGGUUCCACACUAUGUAUUAAAUUCCUUAAUUAGCACUUUUUUGUUUUUUCUUACUGACCGCAUAUUUCUCAAAAUGUGUACAUACAGUAAGAUAUUUUGCUAGAAGCUGCACAUAAAACAUUAUGUUAAACACUUAAAAGUUAGACCAAACCUCUUCAUGUGUUAUAGAGUCAUCUUCUUUUAUAUGAUAGCAGGCUUCUUUUUCCUACAAGUCCUGGCCUCAUUCACUAACAGUAGAUAUUAUUCACUGAAAAGCUAUUCAGUAUUUUGUUUCCUCCUAAUUGUUCAGCAUGAGAUGCUGUGCCUAUUCAAACACUGCUCUGAAGAUAGAAUUAUUAAUUUACUCAUGGGCUUUCUUAUAGUAUUCAUAACUAAAAUGCCUAAAUCUUCAUAAUGAAAAUACUUCCACAACGCUCCUGUGAAAUCAGAUGCCACAAUAAUCUCACCAUCCAACUCAAUCCUUUACAGAUCAGGAAUCCAUGCAAGGAAAGAUUAAGGUCAAAGACAUCUACUGAUUUUUAAUAGCCAACCUGAAAUGCUAAGACUUUAUCUUUUGGAGUAUUUAGCAUUAUAUUUAGUGCUGUUAUUAACUGAUAGAACUAGUAGAAUCUCUUAUUUUCAACAGAAAAGAAGUGUGAUUAUGAGUUCACAAAUGCUUCCUAGCAGCAAUACUGAAGUUCAGAAAAUUUUGCUUCAUUUCUGCUCCUGAAUGGCAGCACACAGUCCUGACCAAGAAAUCGGGAAGUCUCCAUCCAUUUAUUACCUUGCAGGGGAGCUGUUAGGUCACAGGUUGAACUGCUGAUUGAGCACCCAUUGAAGGGGUGUGGCUGGCCCAGGUUGCUCAGGAAAACUGUUUGCACCUGUGCUCCCCACGUGACCAGAAGGGGUAGAGCCAUGCGAGGCUCUUACAAGGGCCAGUGGGCUACUUCCUAAGAAGGAGUGUAGCACAGCCAGAGAGACUCUUUACUGGUUGGGGUAGCAUCAAAACAGAAGAAAGCACUCAAGAAACAGUGGGCAAAGGAAAUAUCUGGCAUGCGUAUGCUCCGGGAUCAAAAACAGAAGAUUGUUAGUGUGGAGCUAGAGGAAGAGGACAGAGAGUGUAACUAUGAAGCAAUUUCAGCAUGCCUUCCAAAUAUUAGAGAUACCCUCAUCCUAAGCUGUUUAUCUUCACAUCCUCAGAGACAACCUUAAACACAGAAGGGAAGGAACAGACAUUCAAAAAAGACAGGUUCAUCAUGCAAGAACAAUGAAUCAUCACGCAGCAGAACUGCAUCUGAUGAGAGUACAGCACUGGUUAUGUCAGCUUAACUGGGGAAGGGAAUGGGAAACCUGUCCAACAGCCAAACUUCUGACAUUUUAAAGCCUCUCUGGAGUAAAACAAACAACCUGGAAAAGUGGGUAUAAUGAGGAUCCACAAUCUGAAAAGUCUUUAGAAAUGCACCACAUCCAGUUCACUUUUGCUUAAGACGGAUGACUCUACUGGCCCCAAGAGAUACAGCACAACUUACAGACUGGUGUUGUUACAGAGUCAACAAACAAACUAGGUGAGGAACAGCUCGCCAAACCUAUGUUAUAGGAAACUUGGCUCUUUGGACCUCAAGUUUUCUAAAAUGCUUGUAAUACUGACAGUUUUACCAGGCUGCCUCUUCAAGUUUCUUAGUUGUAGUCUUCCACGCACUGAGUAAAAUAAAUAAAUAAAAUCUGCCUGGUUAUUUGUAGAACUAGUUCUUUUGACUAAUAUCUCACAACCACAUUUUUACGUAUGAUAAACAUGAAGGCAAUCAGUGUUGAUCCAGGGGGUCAAAAACAUCCAAAACCUCAUGCAAACAAAGUGGAUACAGAAGCUCAAGUGCUGGCCAUGGAACAAAGUCAAUUAAUUGAUGCAGACACACCAGACCUCUCUGUAAGGGCUUAUACAGACAGAUCACAGCACAUUGUGUUUAUGGCUGAUUAUUACAGUCAUGCCUAAGAACUAGGCUACUGACAGUAAUAAAGAAUUACAUCUCAUCUUUAACAGACCCAUAUAACUGUACCACUUCAGGAAAAAUCUCCUUUGACAUUUCACUGGAAGUGUUUAGUCUUCAAAAUCACACAAACACAGUGACAACACAGUGACAAUUAUUCAAAUUGUGGUACUAAAUGUCCCAAAUUUCUCAUUCCUUAGCAACAAAGAUAGCUUAACUGGAAGCUACGUACAUCAUCAAAGGGGUCUUACCACUUGCAUCUUUGGCUCACAAAACAGGACAAAUAUUUUUUGAGAGUUCCAAAAAGAAUUAGAGGAAGGAACAAUGUAAGAAACAAUGUUCUUUAAGGAGGCUGGAGGCACAAAUAAGUUAGCUAUUACCAAUUCAAGAUUUGCACUACCUUGGUAAUUUCUAGUAACAAUGCAGAACACAAAGCUUAAUUUACCUAUGCCAAACAGAGCUGCUCCGGUUGCCUCUCAUUCAAAGAACAGCUGGGAAAUUAUUCUCCUGUUUAAGUUACUCUAAUGUGAAACUUCACAGCAAACAGAAGCAUCUAAAUUUCUUGUUUUAAAGAGCAUAAACACUGACAGUGACAGAAAUCCUCCUUAGAAAGUACCUGCACAACAUGGAGAAUAUGAAUGCCACACCAUUCCUCCUUUUUUUUCUGAGAAUUUAGCUUGGUUAGUGUUCCCGUCAUCACCUCCUAUCUAGGGUUUGUCUUUCAGAAAGUAUUCUAGAAGUUACUAUAUUUUUUGAAAACUGUUUUAUAAACAUUUGAGUGAUUUUUCUUCAAAAUUCAUGCUCCACUUCCAAAUAAAUAGCUCAGUUGCCUCAUGACAGGAAAUGCUGAAUCUUUCCUUUACACCCUGUUGCCUAUUAAUUCAAUUUACAGUUGACCUUGAGUUCCGCAUGGACUUACAUUCUGAAAGGCUCAUCCAGAGUAACAUACCCUACUGCUUUCAGUAUCUAUUUGGAAAAUAAAUUAACCCUAUCAUUCACUGUGUGAAGAAUUAAGCCCAAAGCUCAAAGACUGAUGCCAGCUGUGAUCAAGAGGAAAGAAGAUACCACUAACAGAUUUUCCACUAUCAUACCAUAAAGACUAGACCGUCUCAAACAUUCAGGCUAUAACUGGAUACAAAUCUCAUUAAUGUAGUAUUCCUCUCACCCUUAGUAACUUGAGUUGUGUUUGCAAAUUUUAUUUUAAAUUAUUGAAACUGUUAUGGAUGCUAUUUCGCCUUUUUUUUUUCCUAUUAGCAUAUAUUUAAGGUCAAUACUAUGUUCAGAAUGAAGGAUACUUUAAAAAGAAAACAGUGUACACUCUGUGACUUUGGAGCCCUAGUAGUUCCAAGGUCUCCAAAUUGUUUUUAUAAGCUAGUUAACAUCCCAAGUGCAUUAGACGCAUAAAUUAAAUAGCAGCUAUCUGAAAAGUACCAACGCAUAGACUCCCAUUCAGCCACCUGAAAUCUUUUAACUACUAAAAAACAAAAAAACAAAAACCCUCCCCCUGCGAAAAAUAGCAAAAAACAACUGUCUUCCAGUAAGAAAGUUUGGGGUCCCUUCCAACCUAAGUCAUUCCACAACUCUAAGAAGCUUAAGGAAGAGGUUUAGUAGGGUGCUGGUAGUGUUGCUUAAUGAUUUUUAGGUCUUGAUUCUGUUUCUUUGGAAGUAAACAGCAUUCCAGUUUUUCUUGACAGUGUGUGUUUAUUAAAAAAAUGAACACCAUUUUAUAUUAGAAAUGCUUAGUACCAAUAAUGAUUUGGACUGUGACAAGAUGGGAACUACAUCGUGAAAAACAUAGAUGGAAGAAUCACACAAGUUCUAGAAUAAGGCUUGCUUUUGAGAGAAAUUUCUCAAGCAAGAAAAAAAAAUCACUUUAUUGAUUUUAUUAAUGUUUCAAUAUUAUGAUAUCAAGAAAAAAUGUUUUAAUGAGAUGCAUACAUUUUCCUGUAACUCAAGCACUGAGCUUUCUUGCAAGUCACUUCACACACAGAAUUUAGUUUGCUAGGAGAGUAAACUCACUUUUAUAAGCAAGUUAGUAUGAAUCAUUAGCCUUCACCUUCAUCACAUUCCUGAAGUAUGCACUAAAAUAAUGAGCUCUGUGAACUGGCUGAAGGCAAGCUGCAUUGCGUAAGAGAAACUCCGAGAAACUUCAGUGUUUAAAAAGAGAAAAAAUUUAAUAGUUCUCUGUAUCUGCGGGUUAAAAAAAACACAUUAACAUGCACACACAAGUGUAGAACAAAAUUUCCCCUCUAUUUCUUUCAGAAAAGUUAUCAUCAUGGGUUGCCCUCUUAUAAAUUCUUGGUAAAAAGCAGAUGGACAGGAGAGGAAAAAGGCGUGAGCAGGUAAGUCUAUUUUCGUUCAACAGUCGGCAAUAACCUUUUAAUGCCACUCUCUCAAGAAAACACAGGAACUAAAACAAACAUUGGAGAGGGCAAGAUGUAGUUUUAGAUAUCAUGUAGUUUGGGACACAUUACUUCCAUGCACACUACUAUUUUUGGGGGGUGGUCUUGGAAGUCCCACUAAUGACCUUUAGUUGCAUCUUUGUUCUCUGCAGUUUGAGGACACCAAUAUUCCGCUAUUGAUUCCCUUGAAAUUAGACCAAAGGAAACCAAAUAUAGGUGUACAGCAAGGAACACAACAACAGCUGUUUUUGAGAAGUUUACUCAGAAUGGUGGUGGUGAACAGAUUUUCCACCGCUGUCCAGGGAAAGCACCUGUAAACUCAGUAAGAGUUUACAGGCCACAAAGUCAGUAAGAGUUUGUGGCUGGAAAGCUGCAUGACAGAAAGGGACCUUGGUGUGCUUAUGGACAGUCGGCUGAAUAUGAGCCAGCAGUGUGCCCAGGUGGCCAAGAAG
Long non-coding RNA from Numida meleagris (helmeted guineafowl), 6304 nucleotides. RefSeq lists it as uncharacterized. The record is from RefSeq and is a predicted model, not a curated record. NCBI's taxonomy places the organism in Eukaryota, Metazoa, Chordata, Aves, Galliformes, Numididae. The transcript has 4 exons.